This 253-nucleotide ribosomal RNA is filed under the name uncultured bacterium. Its description in RNAcentral is "partial 16S ribosomal RNA". It matches the Rfam family "Bacterial small subunit ribosomal RNA", at positions 524 to 776 of the family's 1533-position model. The record is from RNAcentral.
UACGUAGGGGGCAAGCGUUAUCCGGAAUCACUGGGUGUAAAGGGAGCGUAGACGGCAGUGCAAGCCUGAAGUGAAAGGCGGGGGCCCAACCCCUGGACUGCUUUGGGAACUGCAUAGCUAGAGUGCAGGAGAGGUAAGUGGAAUUCCUAGUGUAGCGGUGAAAUGCGUAGAUAUUAGGAGGAACACCAGUGGCGAAGGCGGCUUACUGGACUGUAACUGACGUUGAGGCUCGAAAGCGUGGGGAGCAAACAGG